AGUGAACGCUGGCGGUAGGCCUAACACAUGCAAGUCGAACGGCAGCACAGUAAGAGCUUGCUCUUACGGGUGGCGAGUGGCGGACGGGUGAGGAAUACAUCGGAAUCUACUUUUUCGUGGGGGAUAACGUAGGGAAACUUACGCUAAUACCUCAUACGACCUACGGGUGAAAGCAGGGGAUCUUCGGACCUUGCGCGAUUGAAUGAGCCGAUGUCGGAUUAGCUAGUUGGCGGGGUAAAGGCCCACCAAGGCGACGAUCCGUAGCUGGUCUGAGAGGAUGAUCGGCCACACUGGAACUGAGACACGGUCCAGACUCCUAUGGGAGGCAGCAGUGGGGAAUAUUGGACAAUGGGCGCAAGCCUGAUCCAGCAAUACCGCGUGGGUGAAGAAGGCCUUCGGGUUGUAAAGCCCUUUUGUUGGGAAAGAAAAGAAGCAGGUUAAUACACCGAUGUUCUGACGGUACCCAAAGAAUAAGCACCGGCUAACUUCGUG
RNAcentral lists this ribosomal RNA (492 nucleotides) under uncultured bacterium. RNAcentral describes it as "partial 16S ribosomal RNA". It matches the Rfam family "Bacterial small subunit ribosomal RNA", at positions 29 to 507 of the family's 1533-position model. The record is from RNAcentral.